CAGAGUUGCAAAACUCCCACAAACCAUCGCGAAUCUUACCCGUACGGUUGCCUCGGCGCUGGCGGUCCGGAAGGCCCUCGGGCCCCCCGGAUCCUCGGGUCUCCCGCUCGCGGGAGGCUGCCCGCCGGAGUGCCGAAACCAAACUCUUGAUAUUUUAUGUCUCUCUGAGUAAACUUUUAAAUAAGUCA
Molecule: unclassified non-coding RNA, 188 nt
Filed under: uncultured fungus
Lineage: Eukaryota; Fungi
Also listed under: 1 other name
Description: sequence contains ITS1, 5.8S rRNA gene
Source: RNAcentral